GACGAACGCUGGCGGCGUGCUUAACACAUGCAAGUCGAACGGGCCUUGUCCCCUUUUUUUGGGGGUGGGGUUAGUGGCGAACGGGUGAGUAACACGUGAGUAACCUGCCCCUCACUUCUGGAUAACCGCUUGAAAGGGUGGCUAAUACGGGUUGUUCUUGCCUGCUCGCAUGGGUGGGUUUGGAAAGAUUCGACCGGUUUUGGUUGGUUUGGUGGGGGAUGGGCUCGCGGCCUGUCAGCGUGUUGGUGGGGUGAUGGCCUGCCAAGGCUUUGACGGGUAGCCGGCGUGAGAGGGUGCGCGCACACACUGAGUGUGAGACAGGGCACAGACUCAUGCGAGGGACAGGAGUGGGGAAUAUUGCACUAUGGGCGCAAGCCUGAGGGAGAGACGGCGUGUGAGAGAUGGGUGCCUUGAGGGUGUGAACCUCUUUCGCGGGUGAAGAAGAUGCUGAAGUAUGUGGGGACGUCGACAGUAGCUGGGUUAAUGAAGCGACGGCUAACUACGUG
Molecule: ribosomal RNA, 506 nt
Filed under: uncultured bacterium
Lineage: Bacteria
Description: partial 16S ribosomal RNA
Rfam family: Bacterial small subunit ribosomal RNA
Source: RNAcentral